UAAGGUUCUGCUAAGGUGCAUUAAGGUGAAUUCCUAAAUAGAAGCCACAGUUUCCUCUUUGAAUAUUUCCUCAGUUCCUUGCAGAGAGGAGUGUAAGUCAGCACAGUUAGGAAUCUUUAUCGCUGCUGCUGCCUUCUCUCUCUGAUGACUCUGUUCUCUUGCAGCCCUCUUCUGAGUAGAGUAGAGGAAAUUGCGAGGCCUUGGUUGAAACUGAUUAAUAUCUCUUUUACUUCCUCAGUGGUAGACAGCAGCUAUUGCUAGGUAGUACAAUGGAGGAGAGGCAGUGGGGAAGCAGAACCUGUGGCGGAAGAAUGAGGCAUGAGCCUGAGAGGCAGCGCUUGUGCUGGCCUUACGAAACUGACAGCUUCCAUGACCUGUUUCUUAGAACAAUCACUCUUGAAAACCAGCCACCAUGCUGUGAGGAAGACCAAGCAAUCCCAUGGAGAAGCCCACAUAGAGAAGAACUGGUGGUCCCAGACUGAAGUCCUGCUGGGUCCUCAGACAACAGUUCUUUCGGAUGGCAGAACACAAUACUUGGAUACAUUUGGAAGGCAGAAUUCUUCAUUACGACUCUAAAUGAGAGGAGGCUGCCAGGCAGGACCACCCAGGGAAUUGUACACAGAGGGAACAAAGAAAGGGCUCUGGACUUUCAUGUGUGGAGCGGUUGGAAUCAAGAAUGCUGAUUGGGUAAGUGAGACUUCUGGGCACUGUGAGUUGCCCAUAUUACAAUAGUUGGGCCAUCUAGGCAUUUAUUCUUUCACUCGGUACAUAUUUACCAAUCUCUACUUUGUGCAAGUCAGUUAACUAAACAGAGGGGAUUUAAUAAUGACUAAAUUAAAC
Molecule: long non-coding RNA, 840 nt
Filed under: Papio anubis (olive baboon)
Lineage: Eukaryota; Metazoa; Chordata; Mammalia; Primates; Cercopithecidae
Description: lncRNA (ENSPANG00000047312.1)
Source: RNAcentral